Molecule: ribosomal RNA, 372 nt
Filed under: uncultured organism
Description: bacterial SSU rRNA
Rfam family: Bacterial small subunit ribosomal RNA
Source: RNAcentral
CAGAGGGUGCGAACGUUGCUCGGAAUUACUGGGCGUAAAGCGCGUGUAGGCGGGUCGGCAAGUCAGGCGUGAAAUCCCCAGGCUCAACCUGGGAACUGCGCUUGAAACUGCCGGUCUUGAGUAUCGGAGAGGGUGGCGGAAUUCCUGGUGUAGAGGUGAAAUUCGUAGAUAUCAGGAGGAACACCGGUGGCGAAGGCGGCCACCUGGACGAUUACUGACGCUGAGACGCGAAAGCGUGGGGAGCAAACAGGAUUAGAUACCCUGGUAGUCCACGCCGUAAACGAUGGGUGCUAGGUGACUCGGGUAUUGACCCCUGAGGUGCCGUAGCUAACGCGUUAAGCACCCCGCCUGGGAAGUACGGCCGCAAGGCUA